This 356-nucleotide ribosomal RNA is filed under the name uncultured Geobacillus sp. Its description in RNAcentral is "bacterial SSU rRNA". It matches the Rfam family "Bacterial small subunit ribosomal RNA", at positions 1025 to 1382 of the family's 1533-position model. Lineage: Bacteria; Bacillati; Bacillota; Bacilli; Caryophanales; Anoxybacillaceae. The record is from RNAcentral.
ACGAGGGUGACAGGUGGUGCAUGGUUGUCGUCAGCUCGUGUCGUGAGAUGUUGGGUUAAGUCCCGCAACGAGCGCAACCCUCGCCUCUAGUUGCCAGCAUUCGGUUGGGCACUCUAGAGGGGACUGCCGGCGACAAGUCGGAGGAGGUGGGGAUGACGUCAAAUCAUCAUGCCCCUUAUGACCUGGGCUACACACGUGCUACAAUGGGCGGUACAAAGGGCUGCGAACCCGCGAGGGGGAGCGAAUCCCAAAAAGCCGCUCUCAGUUCGGAUUGCAGGCUGCAACUCGCCUGCAUGAAGCCGGAAUCGCUAGUAAUCGCGGAUCAGCAUGCCGCGGUGAAUACGUUCCCGGGCCUU